Molecule: ribosomal RNA, 438 nt
Filed under: uncultured bacterium
Lineage: Bacteria
Description: bacterial SSU rRNA
Rfam family: Bacterial small subunit ribosomal RNA
Source: RNAcentral
AGCGAACGCUGGCGGCAGGCUUAACACAUGCAAGUCGAACGGGCAUAGCAAUAUGUCAGUGGCAGACGGGUGAGUAACGCGUGGGAACAUACCUCUUGGUUCGGAACAACACAGGGAAACUUGUGCUAAUACCGGAUAAGCCCUUACGGGGAAAGAUUUAUUGCCGAGAGAUUGGCCCGCGUCUGAUUAGCUAGUUGGUGAGGUAAGAGCUCACCAAGGCGACGANCAGUAGCUGGUCUGAGAGGAUGAUCAGCCACAUUGGGACUGAGACACGGCCCAAACUCCUACGGGAGGCAGCAGUGGGGAAUAUUGGACAAUGGGGCAACCCUGAUCCAGCAAUGCCGCGUGAGUGAAGAAGGCCUUAGGGUUGUAAAGCUCUUUCGCCCGCGAAGAUGGUGACGGUAGCGGGAGAAGAAGCCCCGGCUAACUCCGUGCCAG